This 804-nucleotide non-coding RNA is filed under the name Mimosilpha disticha. Its description in RNAcentral is "12S ribosomal RNA". The stretch from base 375 to 787 matches the Rfam family "Microsporidia small subunit ribosomal RNA", at positions 752 to 1303 of the family's 1311-position model. Lineage: Eukaryota; Metazoa; Arthropoda; Insecta; Blattodea; Blattidae. The record is from RNAcentral.
AGUUUUAUUCUUGCUAAUUUAUUUGCUUUUAAUUUAUUUUAUAUGUAAGUUCUUGCUUGAUUUAAAUUAUUUUAUCUAAAUGAUUUUUUAUUUUUGUUUAAUUCGCAGUAAUAAGUAUUAUAAAUUUAUGGGAAUUUGAUUUAGUAAUUUUGAUUUAUUAUUGGUAAAAUUUGUGCCAGCAUCCGCGGUUAUACAAUGAAUAUAAGUAAAUAUUUUUGGUUAAAGUAGUUAAAGUUUUAUAUUUGAGUUAUUAUUUUGUUUUUGGGUGAAAUUUUAAUUAUUAUUAUAACUCUUUUUUUUUGAGGCUAUUAGAUCUUUAAUUUGAAACUAGGAUUAGAUACCCUAUUAUUUUGGAUAUAAAUUAUUUUUAACCUAGGUAGUAUUAGUUAUGAUCUUGAAACUUAAAGAAUUUGGCGGUAUUUUAGUCUAUUUAGAGGAAUCUGUUCCUUAAUCGAUAGUCCGCGUUUUACCUUACCAAGUUUAAUUUUGUAUGUAUACCGCCGUUAUAAUGAAUAUCUUUUUAGAGUUUAAUUAAUUUUCUUGAUUUAUUUUUAAAAAUUAUUUCAGGUCAAGGUGCAGCUUAUAAUUUGGUGGAGAUGGAUUACAUUUAUAUUUAUUAUUGAAUUAUUGGUUGAAAUUCUGGUAUGAAAUUGGAUUUAAUUGUAAUUUUUUGUAGUUUGUAGAAUUGAUUUUAGCUCUAUAAUAUGUACACAUCGCCCGUCGCUCUCAUUAUUUAAUUGAAUUGAGAUAAGUCGUAACAUAGUGGUUGUACCGGAAGGUGUAGCUAGAAUGAAUAAUAAUAUA